RNAcentral lists this ribosomal RNA (425 nucleotides) under uncultured bacterium. RNAcentral describes it as "bacterial SSU rRNA". It matches the Rfam family "Bacterial small subunit ribosomal RNA", at positions 354 to 796 of the family's 1533-position model. The record is from RNAcentral.
GUCGGGAAUUUUGCGCAAUGGACGAAAGUCUGACGCAGCAACGCCGCGUGAGGGAUGAAGGCCUUCGGGUUGUAAACCUCUUUUCUCAGGGAAGAUAAUGACGGUACCUGAGGAAUAAGUCACGGCUAACUACGUGCCAGCAGCCGCGGUAAUACGUAGGUGGCUAGCGUUGUCCGGAUUUACUGGGCGUAAAGCGCGCGCAGGCGGUCGUUCAAGUCGAGUGUGAAAGCCCCCGGCUCAACUGGGGAGGGUCACUCGAUACUGAUCGACUUGAAGGCAGAAGAGGGAAGCGGAAUUCCCGGUGUAGUGGUGAAAUGCGUAGAUAUCGGGAGGAACACCAGUGGCGAAGGCGGCUUUCUGGUCUGUUCUUGACGCUGAGGCGCGAAAGCUAGGGUAGCAAACGGGAUUAGAAACCCCAGUAGUCC